CUCAGCAUGGCUUGAUGAGGGGUGCCAGGUCCUCAUCCAGGAUCCAAACCAGCGAACCCUGGGCCACUGAAGCAGAGCAUGAUUGGGUAAACAGUGGAGUCCUAUCGACACAGUGGAAUACUACUUAACAAUGAAAAAAGAACUACUGAUACAUACGACAACUUGAAUGGAGCUCAAGGGCAUUAUGUUGAGUGAAAAAAGCCAGUCUCAAAAGAUCUAUCCAUGUUUUCAAAUUCUUUCAAUAAGUAGAAGAAUGCAUUCCAAGUGGAGGACUAUUAGGAAGAAAGAUCCAGGAUUGAUAUGACCCUGGAAUCAUCUAUGCACUUGAUUCUAAAAUGGAAAAUGUCCUUUAAAUGGAACAGGUUCCAGAUGAUCCUCUGAGGAGCUUCGCUUUGACGUGAAGCUGGACAGAGAUGAUCCAUUGCGAGCCAUUGACUCUGAUCUUCAAGGCUCUUAUUCUCAAAAGUCACAGAAGCAUCACCACAGUUGUCAACCUUUGAAGACUAAGGUAUUGCAACAUCGUGAUGAAGGCAAACUACAGUAGAUGCCAGAGUUGAAGACCAGUCCUCAAACCUCAGGUGGACCCUAGAAAAUCCCUCUGGAGAGACAAAUUCCUGAUGCCAGCCUUAAAACACUGUUCAAACUCUCUCCUUUCACCAGGCUGUAGGGAACAACCAACAGUUUGGCAAAGGACAACUUCCACCACGUUGACUCUGGCCAAUUGAGAUUCUAUUGUCUUCAGAGAAGAAUGCUCACGAGUAUAGAUGCUGAAUAACAUAGUGGAUCUCAAGGAAUUGUCCCCCCAAAUACUUUUUACUUACCAAAGGUAAAAUAAUAAUUUUACAGUGGGGAAACCUGGCAGACACCACCUUAACCAAAUGACCAAAGAUAACCUUGCAGCAAUGGGACUAAUCAGUAUUAGUCCCAUUGUCUCCUCAUAGGACGCUCUGAGAAGAACUCAGCCUUAUUCCUGUGAUAUUCUACCAAAAGCGCAUGACUUGAAUCUAGUCAUAAGGAAACAUCCAACAAAUCUGAGUAGAGGGAGAGUCUACAAAAUAACUGGUCUGUACUCUUCAAAAAUGCCAGUGUCGAGAGAAAGACAGACUCAGGAAACUGUUCCACUUCACAGGAGACUGAAGACACAAGAUGACUUAAUUCAAAUCUUGGAUUGUUUUUGCUGUAAAAGACAUUGUUGGGACAAUUGACAAAAAUCUUAAUAAGCUCUGUAGAUUAGGUAAUAACAUUGUUUCAUUGUUAAUUUCCUGGUUUUGAUCAUUGUCCUAUGGUCACGCAAGGGAAUUCAUGCUUUUAGGAAAUACAGACAAAAGGUCAUCAUAUCUGUGGCUUACUCUUAGAUGGGCAUGAGAGCAAAUGAUGGAAAUGAUGGAAAUGCUCCAUAUCUUGACUGUGGUGGUGGUUACAAUGGUUACACGAACG
Molecule: long non-coding RNA, 1437 nt
Organism: Equus caballus (horse)
Lineage: Eukaryota; Metazoa; Chordata; Mammalia; Perissodactyla; Equidae
Source: Ensembl